CCUACGUGGAGCUGCAGUGAGGAAUAUUGGUCAAUGGGCGCGAGCCUGAACCAGCCAAGUAGCGUGAAGGAUGACUGCCCUACGGGUUGUAAACUUCUUUUAUAAAGGAAUAAAGUGAGGCACGUGUGCCUUUUUGUAUGUACUUUAUGAAUAAGGAUCGGCUAACUCCGUGCCAGCAGCCGCGGUAAUACGGAGGAUCCGAGCGUUAUCCGGAUUUAUUGGGUUUAAAGGGAGCGUAGAUGGGUUGUUAAGUCAGUUGUGAAAGUUUGCGGCUCAACCGUAAAAUUGCAAUUGAUACUGGCAGUCUUGAGUACAGUGGAGGUAGGCGGAAUUCGUGGUGUAGCGGUGAAAUGCUUAGAUAUCACGAAGAACUCCGAUUGCGAAGGCAGCUUACUAAACUGCCACUGACAUUGAUGCUCGAAAGUGUGGGUAUCAAACAGGAUUAGAUACCCCAGUAGUC
Molecule: ribosomal RNA, 460 nt
Filed under: uncultured bacterium
Lineage: Bacteria
Description: partial 16S ribosomal RNA
Rfam family: Bacterial small subunit ribosomal RNA
Source: RNAcentral